CCCAUCCGCCGCCUUUGAUGGAGGGAGAAGCUUAGCGAGCGGGUGCUCGAACUAGGACAGUCGGCGCAAAGUUCUUGGGACCGGUGAUAUUGGAAGUUCCUCACUUUGCAUCAUUGCGCGGAAAAGAAAGAGAAAUUGUUAUUUUGCGAUCUGACAAUGGUGAGACGUGGCGAGAGCACAUUGUGGAUGCUUCUGAAGACAUAGUGCACGAUAUGCUGAAUGACAGCUUUGAAGCUGAUGAUUUGAGCCAAAUGGA
This is a long non-coding RNA of Ctenocephalides felis (cat flea), 256 nucleotides long. RefSeq lists it as uncharacterized. NCBI's taxonomy places the organism in Eukaryota, Metazoa, Arthropoda, Insecta, Siphonaptera, Pulicidae. The transcript has 3 exons. The record is from RefSeq and is a predicted model, not a curated record.